UGUUCCUACGGGGGGCAGCAGUGAGGAAUAUUGGUCAAUGGACGAGAGUCUGAACCAGCCAAGUAGCGUGAAGGAUGACUGCCCUAUGGGUUGUAAACUUCUUUUAUAUGGGAAUAAAACAGGGUAUGCAUACCCUCUUGUAUGUACCAUAUGAAUAAGGAUCGGCUAACUCCGUGCCAGCAGCCGCGGUAAUACGGAGGAUCAGAGCGUUAUCCGGAUUUAUUGGGUUUAAAGGGAGCGUGGAUGGAUUGUUAAGCCAGUUGUGAAAGUUUGCGGCUCAACGGUAAAAU
This 290-nucleotide ribosomal RNA is filed under the name uncultured bacterium. RNAcentral describes it as "partial 16S ribosomal RNA". It matches the Rfam family "Bacterial small subunit ribosomal RNA", at positions 334 to 621 of the family's 1533-position model. The record is from RNAcentral.